GGAGACUGGUGCUGAUGCGCAUGCCCUGCUUACUCAGAGGAAAUGCGAGAACGCUGGAGUAGGAGGUGCACUUUCAUUUGAGAGGGCUCUGUUAAUGGUUGGUCAUCACUUGUGAACUCAGUGAAAGAAGGAUCAGAGAAUUGUUGGUUGUCCCUGUCACUGGUUUCUACAGAGGGACACGGAAGCUGUUUCCACAGUGCCAUCCGCAAAUAUUAAAAGGUGGAAAAGCCAAUGUCAUCUCAGAAUGAAGGAGAGUCGGUGCUAACAUACCUGUGAUGUUUGUCAAGGGGUCACCGGCUUUAUUCCAUACCCUGGCCUGCUCUGGGUAAGAAUGUUCCUGAUUUCAAAAGUGACCAUGCAGAUUAAUAAAUACACAGGAUUCCAGCACACCCUGAAGAAAGCUAUGAAAGAAACGGUGAAUGAAACCUUUUUAUAAAGACAUCUCUGGGCUCUCUGCGGAUCCACGCCUGGUCCAUCACAUCAUCUAUCAGAGUCUAAGUAAAUGUGUUAAUAGGAUAUGGGUUAAACUGGUAGUGUCACAGAUCAGAGAGGAAAUGUGAUAGUAUCAGUCUCAAAGUCAUUUUAAGGGUUUGUUACUAUGCUCUGAAUUCAACAAAAUGAAAUUUCAUAGUGAUAUGUAAAUGGAGCAUAAAUAACUACGAGAUGGUAGGAUACAGACUGGAGAAGAGAGUGGGUCUUCGUUGGAAGCAGAGACUGUGCUUUUGUUUUCUGGUCACCCAGAACCAAACAAUCACACAGAAACUAUAUUAAUUACAACGCUGGUCAACAGCUCAGGCAUAUUCC
Myodes glareolus (Bank vole) is the source of this 804-nucleotide non-coding RNA. The record is from RefSeq and is a predicted model, not a curated record. Lineage: Eukaryota; Metazoa; Chordata; Mammalia; Rodentia; Cricetidae.